This 402-nucleotide ribosomal RNA is filed under the name uncultured bacterium. RNAcentral's name for it is "bacterial SSU rRNA". It matches the Rfam family "Bacterial small subunit ribosomal RNA", at positions 355 to 774 of the family's 1533-position model. The record is from RNAcentral.
UGGGGAAUCUUGCACAAUGGGGGCAACCCUGAUGCAGCGACGCCGCGUGAGCGAUGAAGCCCUUCGGGGCGUAAAGCUCUUUCGACCGGAACGAUAAUGACGGUACCGGGAGAAGAAGCUGCGGCUAACUACGUGCCAGCAGCCGCGGUAAUACGUAGGCAGCAAGCGUUGUUCGGAGUUACUGGGCGUAAAGAGUGCGUAGGCGGUUUUCUAAGUUCGGUGUGAAAUCUCCCGGCUUAACUGGGAGGGUGCGCCGAAGACUGGGAAGCUGGAAUGUGGGCAAGGCAGGCGGAAUUCCUGGUGUAGCGGUGAAAUGCGUAGAUAUCAGGAGGCACACCGGCGGUGUAGACGGCUUGCUAGACCAUAACUGACGCUGAGGCACGAAAGCGUGGGUAGCAAACA